Molecule: ribosomal RNA, 252 nt
Filed under: uncultured microorganism
Description: partial small subunit ribosomal RNA
Rfam family: Bacterial small subunit ribosomal RNA
Source: RNAcentral
UACGUAGGUGGCAAGCGUUGUCCGGAAUUAUUGGGCGUAAAGCGCGCGCAGGCGGAUCUGCCAGUCUGUCUUAAAAGUUCGGGGCUUAACCCCGUGAUGGGAUGGAAACUACAGAUCUAGAGUAUCGGAGAGGAAAGCGGAAUUCCUAGUGUAGCGGUGAAAUGCGUAGAUAUUAGGAGGAACACCAGUGGCGAAGGCGGCUUUCUGGACUGUAACUGACACUGAGGCUCGAAAGCCAGGGGAGCGAACGGG